RNAcentral lists this ribosomal RNA (258 nucleotides) under uncultured bacterium. RNAcentral's name for it is "partial 16S ribosomal RNA". It matches the Rfam family "Bacterial small subunit ribosomal RNA", at positions 524 to 776 of the family's 1533-position model. The record is from RNAcentral.
UACGUAGGGUGCGAGCGUUAAUCGGAAUUACUGGGCGUAAAGCGUGCGCAGGCGGUUUUUGCAAGCCGGAUGUGAAACUCCCCGGGCGUUAACCUGGGGAAUGGCAUUUGGGACUGCAAGGCUGGAGUGCGGCAGAGGGAGACUGGAAUUCCUGGUGUAGCAGUGAAAUGCGUAGAUAUCAGGAGGAACACCAGUGGCGAAGGCGGCUUUCUGGACGGUAACUGACGCUGAGACGCGAAAGCGUGGGGAGCAAACAGG